GGGGAUGUAAUGGCUUCGACAGGCAUUUGAGUUAAUGAAUGGCAGUGGUCUGCAAACCAUAAUGCUUCUAGGCUUUUUAAAUGCAAACUUAGAAAAAAAAGAAGAUCUAUCAUUCAAUUCAAUGAUGAGAUCAAAAAACACAAACCUAGCUUUCGCAUAUUAGUCGAUUCUAGUGGAUUAUUAAAUUGCUCAGUUUAAUAAUUCGGUCUUAGAGCUUGGCAAUAUCAAUUCAAUCUAAAUAUUGCGACAUAUUGAUUGACUAUUAUGGGUAAUUUUGAAUAAUUUAUAACCACUAAUAGUUUAUUUAAAUUGUUCUAAACUGUAGAUAUUCAUUAACAAGGAUGUGUGGACCGGGGUUCAAUUCCCCGCAUCUCCACCA
Molecule: transfer-messenger RNA, 379 nt
Filed under: [Mycoplasma] anseris
Lineage: Bacteria; Bacillati; Mycoplasmatota; Mycoplasmoidales; Metamycoplasmataceae
Description: Metamycoplasma anseris Standard tmRNA
Rfam family: transfer-messenger RNA
About the family: Bacterial tmRNA, also known as 10Sa RNA or SsrA, is named for its dual tRNA and mRNA-like properties.
Source: RNAcentral